RNAcentral lists this ribosomal RNA (468 nucleotides) under uncultured bacterium. Its description in RNAcentral is "partial 16S ribosomal RNA". It matches the Rfam family "Bacterial small subunit ribosomal RNA", at positions 28 to 507 of the family's 1533-position model. The record is from RNAcentral.
GACGAACGCUGGCGGCGUGCUUAACACAUGCAAGUCGAACGGAAAGGCCCUGCUUUUGUGGGGUGCUCGAGUGGCGAACGGGUGAGUAACACGUGAGUAACCUGCCCUUGACUUUGGGAUAACUUCAGUACACUGUGGCUAAUACCGGAUAGGAGCUCCUCCUGCAUGGUGGGGGUUGGAAAGUUUCGGCGGUUGGGGAUGGACUCGCGGCUUAUCAGCUUGUUGGUGGGGUAGUGGCUUACCAAGGCUUUGACGGGUAUCAGGCCUGAGAGGGGGACCGGCCACAAGGGGAGUGAGAUGAGGCGCAGAAUCCUACGGGAGGAAGCAGUGGGGAAUAAUGCACAAUGGGCGGAAGCCGGCUGCAGCAACGCCGCGUGCGGGAUGAAGGACUUCGGGGUGUAAACAGCUUUCGCCUGUGAAGAAGAGUGAGUGACGGUAACGGGUAAAGAAGCACCGGCUAACUACGUG